UACAGAGGUCCCAAGCGUUGUUCGGAUUCACUGGGCGUAAAGGGUGCGUAGGUGGUUGGGUAAGUUUGAUGUGAAAUCUCCGGGCUUAACCUGGGAACUGCGCUUGUAACUGGCAAGCUAGAGUGUGGCAGAGGGGGGUGGAAUUCCACGUGUAGCAGUGAAAUGCGUAGAGAUGUGGAGGAACACCGAUGGCGAAGGCAGCCCCCUGGGCUAACACUGACGCUCAUGCACGAAAGCGUGGGGAGCAAACAGG
Molecule: ribosomal RNA, 253 nt
Filed under: uncultured bacterium
Lineage: Bacteria
Description: partial 16S ribosomal RNA
Rfam family: Bacterial small subunit ribosomal RNA
Source: RNAcentral